GGUGGCUCAGUGGUAGAGUGCUUGCCUUGCAUGCAUCAGGUUGUGGGUUCGAUUCCCUAGCACCA
Molecule: transfer RNA, 65 nt
Filed under: Dipodomys ordii (Ord's kangaroo rat)
Lineage: Eukaryota; Metazoa; Chordata; Mammalia; Rodentia; Heteromyidae
Rfam family: tRNA
About the family: Transfer RNA (tRNA) molecules are approximately 80 nucleotides in length.
Source: Rfam by way of RNAcentral